GGUAGAGAAGAGGAGAGAAAAUAGGGGUAAAUGAGUCUUUUAUCAACACAUGUGCUAAAAUUUAGCACCUCACCCAAACACCCUAAAGGGCUAAAAUUUAGCACUCUAUUUGGGAGGGCUAAAGUUUAGUCCAGGAUUAAAUUUUAGCACCUUCCUCCCAAACAGGACCUAAAUCAUGAAACAUGACAAUCAAAAAAUAAACGUUGGAUUGUUUCCUUGUUGUUGCAAAAACAACAUUCGUCAUUAUCUUUCCAAUUUCAUUUAAUCAAAUUGUCUUUUUUUAAAACUACUCUCUUAACUAAGAACCAAAUAAAAUUCGUAACCUUAAGAGGUAGUUUGAGUUUCCACAUAAAUUUAGUUGGAUAUAAACGGUUUUUGAUUCAUGACGUGUUGAUAGGAUGAUUG
This 405-nucleotide long non-coding RNA is filed under the name Setaria viridis. RNAcentral's name for it is "long non-coding RNA (SVIR_LNC004344)". The record is from RNAcentral. Lineage: Eukaryota; Viridiplantae; Streptophyta; Magnoliopsida; Poales; Poaceae.